This 460-nucleotide ribosomal RNA is filed under the name uncultured bacterium. RNAcentral's name for it is "partial 16S ribosomal RNA". It matches the Rfam family "Bacterial small subunit ribosomal RNA", at positions 338 to 795 of the family's 1533-position model. The record is from RNAcentral.
CCUACGGGAGGCAGCAGUGAGGAAUAUUGGUCAAUGGACGGAAGUCUGAACCGGCCAAGCCGCGUGCAGGAUGACGGCGCUAUGAGUUGUAAAAUGCUUUUGUAUUAGGGUAAACACACCUACGUGUAGGGGCGUGAAAGUAUAAUACGAAUAAGGAUCGGCUAACUCCGAGCCAGCAGCCGCGGUAAUAAGGAAGGACGGGGGGUUAGCCGGAUUUAUUGGGUUAAAAGGGAGCGAAGGCGGCAUGUGAAGGGUGCUGUGAAAUGUCCGGGCGCAACCCGGGCCUUGCAGCGCGAACUGGCGUGCUUGAGGCCGCGGAAAGCAGCCGGAAUUCGUCGUGUAGCGGUGAAAUGCUUAGAUAUGACGAAGAACCCCGAUUGCGAAGGCAGCUUGCUGCAGCGGAACUGACGCUGAUGCUCGAAAGCGCGGGUAUCGAACAGGAUUAGAUACCCUUGUAGUC